This 448-nucleotide ribosomal RNA is filed under the name uncultured bacterium. RNAcentral describes it as "partial 16S ribosomal RNA". It matches the Rfam family "Bacterial small subunit ribosomal RNA", at positions 29 to 523 of the family's 1533-position model. The record is from RNAcentral.
AACGAACGCUGGCGGCAGGCUUAACACAUGCAAGUCGAACAAUGUAGCAAUACAUAUUGGCGCACGGGUGAGUGACGCGUGGGAACGUGCCUUUUAGUUUGGAAUAACACCGGGAAACUGGUGCUAAUGCCAAAUACGCCCUUCGGGGAAAGAUUUAUCGCUAAAAGAUCGGCCCGCGUCCGAUUAGCUAGUUGGUGGGGUAAUGGCCUACCAAGGCUCCGAUCUGUAGAUGUUCUGAGAGGAAGAUCAGCCACACUGGGACUAGGACACGGUCCAGACUCCGACGGGAGGCAGCAGUGGGGAGUAUUGGACAAUGGGGGAAACCCUGAUCCAGCCAUGCCGCGUGAGGGAUGAAGGCCUUAGGGUUGUAAAGCGCUUUUACCAGGGAAGAUGAUGACGGUACCUGGAGAAUAAGCACCGGCUAACUUCGUGCCAGCCGCCGCGGUAA